AACGCACAUUGCGCCCUUUGGUAUUCCGAAGGGCAUGCCUGUUCGAGCGUCAUUAUCACCCCCUCAAGCCCCGUGCUUGGUGUUGGACGGCUUGGUAGAGGUCUCUCUACCCCUCCUAAAGACAAUGACGGCGGCCUCGUGGAACCCCCGGUACACUGAGCUUCUUAACUGAGCACGUAUCGGAUCAAGGGCGCCCGGGGCACGGUCUUCUCCCCUUCCCAUGGGGAAAUUUUCUCAAGGUUGACCUCGGAUCAGGUAGGAAUACGCGCUGAACUUAA
Molecule: unclassified non-coding RNA, 278 nt
Filed under: uncultured Chaetothyriales
Lineage: Eukaryota; Fungi; Ascomycota; Eurotiomycetes; Chaetothyriales
Description: sequence contains 5.8S rRNA gene, ITS2, 28S rRNA gene
Rfam family: 5.8S ribosomal RNA (bases 1-52)
Source: RNAcentral